Molecule: ribosomal RNA, 532 nt
Filed under: Vibrio sp.
Lineage: Bacteria; Pseudomonadati; Pseudomonadota; Gammaproteobacteria; Vibrionales; Vibrionaceae
Description: bacterial SSU rRNA
Rfam family: Bacterial small subunit ribosomal RNA
Source: RNAcentral
CAGCCUGAUGCAGCCAUGCCGCGUGUAUGAAGAAGGCCUUCGGGUUGUAAAGUACUUUCAGCAGUGAGGAAGAUGGUGUGUUUAAUACGCGCAUCAUUUGACGUUAGCUGCAGAAGAAGCACCGGCUAACUCCGUGCCAGCAGCCGCGGUAAUACGGAGGGUGCGAGCGUUAAUCGGAAUUACUGGGCGUAAAGCGCAUGCAGGUGGUUUGUUAAGUCAGAUGUGAAAGCCCGGGGCUCAACCUCGGAAUAGCAUUUGAAACUGGCAGACUAGAGUACUGUAGAGGGGGGUAGAAUUUCAGGUGUAGCGGUGAAAUGCGUAGAGAUCUGAAGGAAUACCGGUGGCGAAGGCGGCCCCCUGGACAGAUACUGACACUCAGAUGCGAAAGCGUGGGGAGCAAACAGGAUUAGAUACCCUGGUAGUCCACGCCGUAAACGAUGUCUACUUGGAGGUUGUGGCCUUGAGCCGUGGCUUUCGGAGCUAACGCGUUAAGUAGACCGCCUGGGGAGUACGGUCGCAAGAUUAAAACUCA